UACAGAGGUGGCAAGCGUUGUUCGGAAUUACUGGGCGUAAAGGGCGCGUAGGCGGCCCUCUAAGUCAGACGUGAAAUCCCCGGGCUCAACCCGGGAACUGCGUCCGAUACUGGCAGGCUUGAAUCCGGGAGAGGGAUGUGGAAUUCCAGGUGUAGCGGUGAAAUGCGUAGAUAUCGGGAGGAACACCAGUGGCGAAGGCGACUACCUGGCCUGUUUCUUGACGCUGAGGCGCGAAAGCUAGGGGAGCAAACGGG
RNAcentral lists this ribosomal RNA (254 nucleotides) under uncultured bacterium. Its description in RNAcentral is "partial 16S ribosomal RNA". It matches the Rfam family "Bacterial small subunit ribosomal RNA", at positions 524 to 776 of the family's 1533-position model. The record is from RNAcentral.